CCUACGGGUGGCUGCAGUGGGGAAUAUUGCACAAUGGGGGGAACCCUGAUGCAGCGAAGCCGCGUGGGUGAGGAAGUAAUUCGGUAUGUAAAGCCCUAUCAGCAGGGGAGAAAAUGACGGUACCUGACUAAGAAGCCGCGGCUAACUACGUGCCAGCAGCAGGGGUAAUACGUAGGGGGCAAGCGUUAUCCGGAUUUACUGGGGGUAAAGGGAGCGUAGACGGCGUGCCAAGUCUGGUGUGAAAGGCCGGGGCUCAACCCCGGGACUGCAGUGGAAACUGGCCUGCUGGAGUGCCGGAGGGGCAAGCGGAAUUCGUGGUGUAGCGGUGAAAUGCGUAGAUAUUAGGAGGAACACCGGUGGCGAAGGCGGCUUGCUGGACGGUAACUGACGUUGAGGCUCGAAAGCGUGGGGAGCGAACAGGAUUAGAUACCCGAGUAGUC
This 440-nucleotide ribosomal RNA is filed under the name uncultured bacterium. RNAcentral's name for it is "partial 16S ribosomal RNA". It matches the Rfam family "Bacterial small subunit ribosomal RNA", at positions 338 to 795 of the family's 1533-position model. The record is from RNAcentral.